AGGCAUACUCAUUCUACCCCUACAUCCAAGGAUUCAUCUAUCCCUUGAUUUGAAGCCCAACAAGGAAUUUUUUACCACAAAAUAGGAUUUAUUGUGGUUACCUUAAAUGCAUGGCUCGAUCUCUAGACCUAAUGCUCCAUAGGGGUCAAAGGCCUUGAUCAGAAUAGCAAACACUACCAAACAUAAAUCAGAAGAGAGAAGAGAGAGAGAGAGGAAGAAGAAAAAGUGAAGGAUAGGGUAUGCAUAUCCUACUAGGCUAGAGAGAGAAAGAGUGAGAAUUUUUAUAUAAUUUGGGAGAUAGAAGGAGAUAGGGGGGAGAG
RNAcentral lists this long non-coding RNA (320 nucleotides) under Elaeis guineensis (African oil palm). RNAcentral's name for it is "long non-coding RNA (EGUI_LNC038761)". Lineage: Eukaryota; Viridiplantae; Streptophyta; Magnoliopsida; Arecales; Arecaceae. The record is from RNAcentral.